UAGAAAAGGGCGCACGGUGAAUGCCUAGGCACUAACAGCCGAAGAAGGACGUGACGAACUACGAAAAGCUUCGGGGAGCGGUAAGUACGCAGUGAUCCGGAGAUAUCCGAAUGGGGGAACCCAAUGCAGAGAUGCAUUAUUGAUUAGUGAUAGAUAGCUAAUCAAACCAAGACGCAGUGAACUGAAACAUCUAAGGUACC
This 200-nucleotide ribosomal RNA is filed under the name chlamydia-associated clinical sample 714-G. RNAcentral's name for it is "partial 23S ribosomal RNA". It matches the Rfam family "Bacterial large subunit ribosomal RNA", at positions 1 to 211 of the family's 2925-position model. The record is from RNAcentral.